UACGAGGGGGGCGAGCGUUGUUCGGAAUUAUUGGGCGUAAAGGGCGCGUAGGCGGUGCGGUAAGUCACCUGUGAAAUCUCCUGGCUCAACUGGGAGCUUGCAGGCGAAACUGCCGUGCUGGAGUGUGGGAGAGGUGCGUGGAAUUCCCGGUGUAGCGGUGAAAUGCGUAGAUAUCGAGAGGAACACCAGUGGCGAAGGCGAGUCCCUGGACAACACCUGACACUGAGGCACGAAAGCUAGGGGAGCAAACAGG
This 253-nucleotide ribosomal RNA is filed under the name uncultured bacterium. Its description in RNAcentral is "partial 16S ribosomal RNA". It matches the Rfam family "Bacterial small subunit ribosomal RNA", at positions 524 to 776 of the family's 1533-position model. The record is from RNAcentral.